GGUCCCGUGGCGGAAUUGGUAGACGCAGCAGACUUAAAAUCUGCUGUCUUUUCAUAGACGUGCCGGUUCGAUUCCGGCCGGGACCACCA
Molecule: transfer RNA, 89 nt
Filed under: Rhodospirillaceae bacterium
Lineage: Bacteria; Pseudomonadati; Pseudomonadota; Alphaproteobacteria; Rhodospirillales; Rhodospirillaceae
Description: tRNA-Leu
Rfam family: tRNA
About the family: Transfer RNA (tRNA) molecules are approximately 80 nucleotides in length. Their secondary structure includes four short double-helical elements and three loops (D, anti-codon, and T loops).
Source: RNAcentral